RNA transcript from Microtus oregoni (creeping vole), 1665 nucleotides. It is a transcript of the gene named MAF bZIP transcription factor, with no coding region annotated. Lineage: Eukaryota; Metazoa; Chordata; Mammalia; Rodentia; Cricetidae. The transcript is spliced from 4 exons. The record is from RefSeq and is a predicted model, not a curated record.
GUGUGUGCACGCUCGAGCUUUCGGGCCACAGCCACCGCCGCGCGAGCUAGAAGCGCCUUAGCCCGGCAAGCUGGCUCACCCGCUGGCCACCCAGCACAGCCCGCUGGCCCCUCUCCUGCAGCCCAUCUGGCGGAGCGGCGGCGGCGGCGGCGGAGGCAGGAGGAUGGCUUCAGAACUGGCAAUGAACAAUUCCGACCUGCCCACCAGUCCCCUGGCCAUGGAAUAUGUUAAUGACUUCGAUCUGAUGAAGUUUGAAGUGAAAAAGGAACCGGUGGAGACCGACCGCAUCAUCAGCCAGUGUGGCCGUCUCAUCGCCGGGGGCUCGCUGUCCUCCACCCCCAUGAGCACGCCCUGCAGCUCGGUGCCCCCGUCCCCCAGCUUCUCGGCGCCCAGUCCGGGCUCGGGCAGCGAACAGAAGGCGCACCUGGAAGACUACUACUGGAUGACCGGCUACCCGCAGCAGCUCAACCCCGAGGCGCUGGGCUUCAGCCCGGAGGACGCGGUCGAGGCGCUCAUCAGCAACAGCCACCAGCUCCAGGGUGGCUUCGAUGGCUACGCGCGGGGAGCACAGCAGCUGGCCGCGGCGGCGGGGGCCGGCGCCGGCGCCUCCCUGGGCGGCAGCGGCGAGGAGAUGGGCCCCGCCGCCGCCGUGGUGUCCGCCGUGAUCGCCGCGGCCGCAGCGCAGAGCGGCGCGGCACCCCACUACCAUCACCACCACCACCACGCCGCGGGGCACCACCACCACCCGACGGCCGGCGCCCCGGGAGCCGCGGGCGGCGCGUCUGCCUCUGCGGGCGGCGCGGGUGGCGCGGGCGGCGGUGGACCGACCAGCGCCGGCGGCGGCGGCGGCGGCGGGGGCGCGGCGGGGGCGGGGGGCGCCCUGCACCCGCACCACGCCGCGGGCGGCCUGCACUUCGACGACCGCUUCUCGGACGAGCAGUUGGUGACCAUGUCGGUGCGCGAGCUGAACCGGCAGCUGCGCGGGGUCAGCAAGGAGGAGGUGAUCCGACUGAAGCAGAAGAGGCGGACCCUGAAAAACCGCGGCUAUGCCCAGUCCUGCCGCUUCAAGAGGGUGCAGCAGAGACACGUCCUGGAGUCGGAGAAGAAUCAGCUGCUGCAGCAGGUCGACCACCUCAAGCAGGAGAUCUCCAGGCUGGUGCGCGAAAGGGACGCCUACAAGGAGAAAUACGAGAAGUUGGUGAGCAGCGGGUUCCGAGAAAACGGCUCCAGCAGCGACAACCCGUCCUCUCCCGAAUUUUUCAUGUACCCAAGGGACUCUUCUACAUCUGUGAUGUGAGCAAAGCAGUUGCCUGGAGUCAAACAGAAAAUACGAUGCUGGCAUGCUUAUCCCAUGAGACAACUCGGCCCACAAAGCACAAAAACUAAACCCACACUCAGAGAAGAACCAAGAAUGGUGUUUUUCCCGGCGUCCACAAGAAGCGCUUUAUUUUUCCUCUAGAUUUCUUUUCUAAAAAAAAAAAAAAAGAAAACAAACAAAAAACAAAACAGAACAAAAAGGACUGAGAUGAACAUUCAAACAAACGAUCCACACUUCAGCUCUAGCUUCCUGUCCCCACAAUGCCACCUACUCCUACCGGCUCUCCUGGGUCUGAGAAGCUCCAUGGAGACUUAGGAAGACACACAGCUAACCUGCUUGCAGAAGCA